Molecule: RNA transcript, 2433 nt
Organism: Mauremys reevesii (Reeves's turtle)
Lineage: Eukaryota; Metazoa; Chordata; Testudines; Geoemydidae
Gene name: zinc finger protein 581-like
Exons: 2
Source: RefSeq, a predicted model, not a curated record
UCGCGGGUUAUCCAAGGGGAUCGCUUGGGCCCGCCCCGCCCUUAUUCUCAAUCACCAGCCUGGCUGGAAACGUCCCUUUCGCCUUUCAGCACCGCCUGAGCGGCUCCGUCGGGUGCGGGGCCCUAGGACACCGCCCCGCCUGCCGAGCUGGCGGCGGAGAGUCAGGGCGCGAGGGCCGCGCCGGGGCAGCGAGGCGCGUUAUCGCAGAGCAGGGCUGUGUGAGCCCGGGACGGCCCUCGCCGGCGUCCGCCUGUAACCAACCCUCAGCUACUGCCGAGUGGACGGGUCCCCGGGCCUGGGCACUCAGCCUCGGGGCCCAGCCCGGCCUGGGCUGGCUGCACGUGAGGACUCCGGGGGGGCUGUUCUGGGUCACUGUGAGCCCCCCCCCCCGAAGUCUCGCUGACUUGAGUAGGUUGUUCAUUGAAGUGCUUUCGUGAAGCUGGGCCACGCUUUGUCGGGAUGCGACCAGAACUACCUGGUCUGAAAACCACUUCUACUGGUGCCUCUGGGGCGCGAUUUUUCAGCGUGCUGUGCACCCACAGCUCUACUUGAAGUCAGGGCAGCUGCUCAGCACUCCUGAGAAUCAGGGCCUGGGGUGUUAAUGCUGAAAGAAUUUUCCUCUCUGCUGUUUUUAAGGAUGCAGGACAGAACAGAGUCAUGUGUCUGAUUUCUUCCUUAUUCUGUCACUGACUUUCUGUGUGGACUUUUUUCUUUUUUUAAGGCAAGAAAUGGCACAGAAGUUUUAUUACAAUAGUUGUUUUUGCUCCUCAGAUAAAUAGGAGUUGUGGAUAAAUACUCGGUACUGGAUGCAGCAUCCCACUGAAUCCUCAGUGCCCUCUUGGUGGUCACCCUUAAAUACACCCCUCCCACUGCCCCAACCCUCCCAGUAUUACAGCCCCUUGUUUCUUUCAUUGCUAUAUAAACAGGGUAUUUAGGUACGGCCUACAUAAACAGAUCUAGGGGAUUGGUCCCUGGGUCAAAUCAUGUGGCAGGUAGUUCCACAGGUUAACCACUCCCCAUUCUCAUCUGCUAAAUUCUCCAUGCCCCUGGGUCAAAACGUGUGGUUCAAAUGACUACCAGUUCUCAGCUCCUUGCUGGGCUCCUGGGUCAAAUCGUGUGGUGGGGUAGUUCUACAGAUUAACCCCAGCUCAUCCUCCUCCUGUUAAGUUCUCCAGGCCUCUGAGUCAAAUCAUGUGGUUGGUAGUUCCACAGCUUCUCUUCCCACCCCACCCCCAGCUAAACUAUCUGGUCCUCUGUUUGUCUCUCUGUGCCUCAGUUUCCCUGUAUAAAAAUGGGGCUGUGUAUCCAUCUCUAUCAAUUGUUUUGAGCUCUCCAGCUGAAAAGUCAAGUCCCCUUCUUUAAUGCAAAGAGGCUGAUCCCUAGACCUACAACAUAAAAAGAAAGUUUAGGAGAAUUGGGUUUUCCAGGUUAGAUUCCUAAGCCUAGUACCACAAGAUGUCAGCAGAGAAUCAGUCCAGGCUGGUGCUCUUGGAAAAGAGGUUUCUGGUAAACAGCUAGUGGGUCUGAAAACUCAGCUUCUCACGUUUCUACACAGCAUUUGUCUCAUGCCUGGAGGAUCUCACCUGGUUGAUGGCUGCCUUUUCCCUUGUUGGUUUUGCUCUGAGUGAUUUAGGUGGAUGCGGUCAUAGCUAGGAGCUGACAAAGAGUGAGGUGCUGCUGAGAGCGCAUCUGCAAGCCCACGUCACUCCAGGGCAGUUUGAAUGCCCCUCCUGUGGCUACGCCUUCCGCCACAAGCAUCACUUGCAGCGCCACCAAGCCAGAAUGCAUGGCAUUCCCUCCAGCAGGGCGAAGAAACGAGAUGUUCCACCAGUGGCACAGCUCAGGUGAGAUGCUGCCUGCCUUGAAAGGACUGAGCCUUGAGUCUGAUCAACUGUCACUAAUUCCUAAGCUGCAGAAGCAGCUUCCCUAGAAAACUAAGCAUGCUCCUUCUCCCUCCCUGGGGAAGGCUGCGCCGUCCUCGCUCACACAAUAAUGCAGACCUAGCUGCAUUGCAUAGACAGUGAACAGCCAAUGGCUCUGAUCCCAUCUUCACCCAGAACAAAAGCUGCAGCUCAGACCUAGAGCCUUCUCCACUUGGGUUUAAUGCUCUGCGCAUGCUGCUUUGUUCUCUAUGCUACUUCCCAGCCAUUCUCUGGGCUCCGUGCACCUGCGGAGCCUUGGCAUUAGCCUCUCAAUAAACAGCAUCGUAGUAGCGGCUGGAAUUCUGCUUGCUGCCGUGGUGAGAUUCCAUCUGCAGUGGGACGCCUGGUGCCCACCAGGGCCCAGUCACGUCCAAGGGAGUGUUGAAGCUACUGCUGAUGUCAGAAGCAGACCCUUUGCGUGCCAUUGACCUUGUAAUAGCGGGGCUCAUGACUCCUUCAGGUUUAAGUGUGUGUGUAAAAGUGGGGAGAACUCCUGCUUGUGGGGCCCUGG